RNAcentral lists this unclassified non-coding RNA (332 nucleotides) under soil metagenome. RNAcentral's name for it is "partial contains 5.8S ribosomal RNA, internal transcribed spacer 2, and large subunit ribosomal RNA". The stretch from base 1 to 120 matches the Rfam family "5.8S ribosomal RNA", at positions 35 to 154 of the family's 154-position model. The record is from RNAcentral.
GAUGAAGAACGCAGCGAAAUGCGAUAAGUAGCGUGAAUUGCAGAAUUCAGUGAAUCAUCGAAUCUUUGAACGCACAUUGCGCCCUUUGGUAUUCCUUAGGGCAUGCCUGUUCGAGCGUCAUUUAAACCUUCAAGCUAAGCUUGGUGUUGGGUGACUGUCCGCUUCACGGCGGACUCGCCUCAAAAUUAUUGGCGGCCGGUACAUUGGCUUCGAGCGCAGCAGAAACGCGAACUCGGGCCCGUCGUAUUGGCUCCCAGAAGCUAUCUUCACAAUUUUGACCUCGGAUCAGGUAGGGAUACCCGCUGAACUUAAGCAUAUCAAUAAGCGGAGGA